CGUAUAUUAAAGUUGUUGCGGUUAAAAAGCUCGUAGUUGGAUUUCUGUCGAAAGUGCUUGGUCCCCACUCUGUGGGCGCAUCUAAGUCGCUUUUGGCAUCCUCCUAUUUUUCGUUUGCUGCACUUAAUUGGGUGGCUUUCGGAGUAGGACUUUUACUUUGAGGAAAUUCGAGUGUUUACGGCAGGCAAUCGCCUUGUAGAUAUUAGCAUGGAAUAAUAAUAUAGGACCUUGGUUCUAUUUUGUUGGUUUCUAGGACUGAGGUAAUGAUUAAUAGGGAUAUUUGGGGGCAUUCGUAUUAACCGGUCAGAGGUGGAAUUCUUGGAUUCGGUUACGACGAACUACUGCGAAAGCAUUUGCCAAGAAUGUUUUCAUUGAUCAAGAACGAAAGUUAGGGGAUCGAAGACGAUCAGAUACCGUCCUAGUCUUAACUAUAAACCAUGCCGGCUAGAGAUCGGAGGUUGUUCGUUUUAUGACGCCUUCAGCAUCUUGAGAGAAAUCAAAGCCUUUGGGUUCCGGGGGGAGUAUGGUCGCAAGGCUGAAACUUAA
Molecule: ribosomal RNA, 546 nt
Filed under: uncultured marine picoplankton
Lineage: Eukaryota
Description: bacterial SSU rRNA
Rfam family: Eukaryotic small subunit ribosomal RNA
Source: RNAcentral